UACGGGGGGGGCAAGCGUUGUUCGGAAUUACUGGGCGUAAAGGGCUCGUAGGCGGCCAACUAAGUCAGACGUGAAAUCCCUCGGCUUAACCGGGGAACUGCGUCUGAUACUGGAUGGCUUGAGUGUGGGAGAGGGAUGCGGAAUUCCAGGUGUAGCGGUGAAAUGCGUAGAUAUCUGGAGGAACACCGAUGGCGAAGGCAGCCUCCUGGGCUAGUACUGACGCUCAUGCACGAAAGCGUGGGGAGCAAACAGG
This 253-nucleotide ribosomal RNA is filed under the name uncultured bacterium. RNAcentral describes it as "partial 16S ribosomal RNA". It matches the Rfam family "Bacterial small subunit ribosomal RNA", at positions 524 to 776 of the family's 1533-position model. The record is from RNAcentral.